GGGAAAUGCAGCCUGCUUUGCAGAGAAGCCAACCAUCGCAGGGGUCUCUUUGAGCACAGAAGAAAAGGGAAGACAUGUGGCCGUGCAAGAGACAGAGAGGUUAACUACAUCAACAGCCUUUCUGCUUUCCAGUGCUACCCCAUCCAUUGUAACCGAGUGAAACCCAGUGCCGUUAGCUACGAGUUUCUGCUCUUGGUUGUCAAGUUCCUGAGGAUAUUUGUCCUGGCAGGAUUCUGCAGCAGGAUCUGCUGGAGCAGCUUUUUAAAUAUCCUCCUGAGUCUCCUGAGGUUGCUUCAGUAUGUUUGGAUAUGUCCACCUCCUCCACAGGCUCCUCUGGGCUACUGAUCUGAGGAGCUGAGACAGAUUUGGUCAGUUUGGUAAGCUCCACUACUCUUUCUUCUUCCUCAAAGGGUAAAGAGCUAAUGGAUGUGAGAGAUGCUUGUAUCCCGCUGGGCAGGCUGGUAUUGCUUUCUGUGUGCCCACCCUCCAGGGAAUUCCGGUGGAUGGCAUGUCUCCUUACCAAGUGGUGCAGGAUCUCUCGAUCACUGGGCAGCUCCAGAGCCCGGCUCCGAGCAUCAGACCACGCCACUGAACUUGGUUCGCUUUCGAUGCCUGAAUCUGAUAUAAUAGAGGAGGAUCUCUUUAUGACCCCUGACAUCAGGGUAAAUUCUUCACACUCCUCAGUUCGUUGCUCCUUUGCAAACAACUUCACCUCCAAGCUGUGGGAGGGCAAAGCUUUUAAAACAGGAUGCAGAGGCUUGCUAUCUGGUUCUGGUGUUCUUUCAAGCCUGGUGAAUUCACUCAGUGCAGGCUCAGAACUGAAAUUAUUCUCAAGAUGACCAGAUUCAGAUGUUUUAUGUAUUUCAGUCCUGCUUUCCAAGCCAUCAG
Molecule: long non-coding RNA, 888 nt
Filed under: Gallus gallus (chicken)
Lineage: Eukaryota; Metazoa; Chordata; Aves; Galliformes; Phasianidae
Description: long non-coding RNA NONGGAT004610
Source: RNAcentral